This 329-nucleotide unclassified non-coding RNA is filed under the name soil metagenome. RNAcentral's name for it is "partial contains 5.8S ribosomal RNA, internal transcribed spacer 2, and large subunit ribosomal RNA". The stretch from base 1 to 120 matches the Rfam family "5.8S ribosomal RNA", at positions 35 to 154 of the family's 154-position model. The record is from RNAcentral.
GUUGAAGAACGCAGCGAAAUGCGAUAAGUAAUGUGAAUUGCAGAAUUCAGUGAAUCAUCGAAUCUUUGAACGCACAUUGCGCCCCUUGGUAUUCCGAGGGGCAUGCCUGUUCGAGCGUCAUUAUAACCCCUCAAGCUCAGCUUGGUGUUGGGGCCUGCUGCACUGGCAGCCCUUAAAAUCAGUGGCGGCGCCAUCUGGCUCUAAGCGUAGUAAUUCUUCUCGCUAUGGAGUCCUGGUGGAUGCUUGCCAUCAACCCCCAAUUUUUCUAUGGUUGACCUCGGAUCAGGUAGGGAUACCCGCUGAACUUAAGCAUAUCAAUAAGCGGAGGA